Molecule: ribosomal RNA, 514 nt
Filed under: Lodderomyces orthopsilosis
Lineage: Eukaryota; Fungi; Ascomycota; Pichiomycetes; Serinales; Debaryomycetaceae
Description: eukaryotic LSU rRNA
Rfam family: 5.8S ribosomal RNA (bases 174-327)
Source: RNAcentral
UCCGUAGGUGAACCUGCGGAAGGAUCAUUACAGAAUGAAAGUGCUUAACUGCAUUUUUUUUACACAUGUGUUUUUCUUUUUUUUUGAAAACUUUGCUUUGGUGGGCCCAUGGCCUGCCAGAGAUUAAACUCAACCAAAUUUUUAUUUAAGUCAACUGAUUAACUAAUAGUCAAAACUUUCAACAACGGAUCUCUUGGUUCUCGCAUCGAUGAAGAACGCAGCGAAAUGCGAUAAGUAAUAUGAAUUGCAGAUAUUCGUGAAUCAUCGAAUCUUUGAACGCACAUUGCGCCCUUUGGUAUUCCAAAGGGCAUGCCUGUUUGAGCGUCAUUUCUCCCUCAAACCUUCGGGUUUGGUGUUGAGCGAUACGCUGGGUUUGCUUGAAAGAAAGGCGGAGUAUAAACUAAUGGAUAGGUUUUUUUUCCACUCAUUGGUACAAACUCCAAAAUUCUUCCAAAUUCGACCUCAAAUCAGGUAGGACUACCCGCUGAACUUAAGCAUAUCAAUAAGCGGAGGA